This 53-nucleotide microRNA precursor is filed under the name Oryza sativa Japonica Group (Japanese rice). RNAcentral's name for it is "mir-6 microRNA precursor". Lineage: Eukaryota; Viridiplantae; Streptophyta; Magnoliopsida; Poales; Poaceae. The record is from RNAcentral.
AAAAUUUAUAUUAAAUUUCAUUAAUUUACAAGUGAAGUUUAAUGUGAGAAAUA